AUACGGAGGAUCCGAGCGUUAUCCGGAUUUAUUGGGUUUAAGGGUGCGCAGGCGGCCAUUUAAGUCAGCGGUUAAAUCGUGGGGCUCAACCCCAUUCUGCCGUUGAUACUGGGUGGCUUGAUUGCGGUCGAGGUUGGCGGAAUUCGUUGUGUAGCGGUGAAAUGCAUAGAUAUGACGAAGAACACCGAUUGCGUAGGCAGCUGACCAGACCGCAAAUGACGCUCAUGCACGAAAGUGCGGGGAUCGAACAGGAUUAGAUACCCUGGUAGUCCGCACAGUAAACGAUGAAUACUUGUUUUCGGCGAUAUAAUGUCGGAGGCAAAGCGAAAGCGAUAAGUAUUCCACCUGGGGAGUACGCCGACAACGGUGAAACUCAAAGGAAUUGACGGGG
RNAcentral lists this ribosomal RNA (391 nucleotides) under uncultured bacterium. RNAcentral describes it as "partial 16S ribosomal RNA". It matches the Rfam family "Bacterial small subunit ribosomal RNA", at positions 523 to 918 of the family's 1533-position model. The record is from RNAcentral.